RNAcentral lists this ribosomal RNA (436 nucleotides) under uncultured bacterium. RNAcentral describes it as "partial 16S ribosomal RNA". It matches the Rfam family "Bacterial small subunit ribosomal RNA", at positions 29 to 507 of the family's 1533-position model. The record is from RNAcentral.
AACGAACGCUGGCGGCAUGCCUAACACAUGCAAGUCGAACGAGAUCCUUCGGGGUCUAGUGGCGCACGGGUGCGUAACGCGUGGGAAUCUGCCCUUAGGUUCGGAAUAACAGUUAGAAAUGACUGCUAAUACCGGAUGAUGACGUUAAGUCCAAAGAUUUAUCGCCUGAGGAUGAGCCCGCGUAGGAUUAGCUAGUUGGUGUGGUGAAGGCGCACCAAGGCGACGAUCCUUAGCUGGUCUGAGAGGAUGAUCAGCCACACUGGGACUGAGACACGGCCCAGACUCCUACGGGAGGCAGCAGUGGGGAAUAUUGGACAAUGGGCGCAAGCCUGAUCCAGCAAUGCCGCGUGAGUGAUGAAGGCCUUAGGGUUGUAAAGCUCUUUUACCCGAGAUGAUAAUGACAGUAGCGGGAGAAUAAGCCCCGGCUAACUCCGUG